CAAGGAUUCUCGUAGUAACUGCGAGUGAAGCGGGAAGAGCUCAAAUUGGAAAUCUGGCGGCUCUUGACCGUNCCAGUUGUAAUAUAGAGAAGUGCUACCUGUGCUGGNCCGCGUACAAGUCUCCUGGAAUGGAGCAUCACAGAGGGUGAGAAUNCUGUCUCUGACACGGUCCUCCUGUACGCUAUGGUGCGCUCUCGAAGAGUCGAGUUGUUUGGGAAUGCAGCUCAAAAUGGGUGGUAAAUGCCAUCUAAAGCUAAAUAUUGGCGAGAGACCGAUAGCGAACNAGUNCCGUGAGGGAAAGAUGAAAAGAACUUUGGAAAGAGAGUUAAACAGUACGUGAAAUUGCUGAAAGGGAAACGCUUGAAGUCAGUCGCGUCGGCCAGAAAUCAACCUUGCUUUUGCUUGGUGUACUUUCUUGUUGAUGGGUCAGCAUCAAUUUCGACCAUCGGAUAAAGUCGUUGGGAAUGUGGCAUCUUCGGAUGUGUUAUAGCCCAGCAUCGCAUUCGGUGGUUGGGAUUGAGGACCUCAGCCCGGCACGAGCCCCGGUCUCUCGAGGUCUCGUCCGUGCUUAGGAUGCUGCCAUAAUGGCUUCAAUCGCCC
RNAcentral lists this ribosomal RNA (600 nucleotides) under uncultured fungus. RNAcentral's name for it is "eukaryotic LSU rRNA". It matches the Rfam family "Eukaryotic large subunit ribosomal RNA", at positions 69 to 649 of the family's 3401-position model. The record is from RNAcentral. Lineage: Eukaryota; Fungi.